AUACGUAGGGGGCGAGCGUUGUCCGGAAUGAUUGGGCGUAAAGGGCGCGUAGGCGGCCCGGUAAGUCUAGAGUGAAAGUCCUGUUUUUAAGAUGGGAAUUGCUUUGGAUACUGUCGGGCUUGAGUGCAGGAGAGGUAAGUGGAAUUCCCAGUGUAGCGGUGAAAUGCGUAGAGAUUGGGAGGAACACCAGUGGCGAAGGCGACUUACUGGACUGUAACUGACGCUGAGGCGCGAAAGUGUGGGGAGCAAACAGGAUUAGAUACCCUGGUAGUCCACACUGUAAACGAUGAAUGCUAGGUGUAGGGGGUAUCGACCCCUUCUGUGCCGCAGUCAACACAAUAAGCAUUCCGCCUGGGGAGUACGGCCGCAAGGUUGAAACUCAAAUGAAUUGACGGGG
RNAcentral lists this ribosomal RNA (397 nucleotides) under uncultured bacterium. RNAcentral describes it as "partial 16S ribosomal RNA". It matches the Rfam family "Bacterial small subunit ribosomal RNA", at positions 523 to 918 of the family's 1533-position model. The record is from RNAcentral.